AUGGCCAAAUAUUUCUGGAGCAGCUCUAUUGACAAAAAUGCAUUGCAUUGGGUUUCCUGGAAGAGUUUAGCUACACCAAAGUGCCAAGGUGGUAUGGGGUUUCGUGACCCCCAUCAGUUCAAUCUUGCGCUACUCGGGAAGCAUGGUUGGCGCUUUAUGACCAACCCUAAUUCCCUUUGCGCAAGAGUAAUGAAGGGCUGCUACUUUCCUGACACGGAUUUCUUGCAUGCUUCUGUUCCAAAGUCAGCGUCAGUGACUUGGUGGGCUAUCAUUGCUGGUAGGGAAGCUUUACAGGCGGGCCUCAUCAAAAGAGUUGGAUACGGGAGGUCCAUUGAUGCUUGGCAGGACAAGUGGAUUCCGGGCACCAUAUCUAUGUUACCUUUGCUAAAACCUCCUACCACGCCGGUUCAGACAGUUUCGGACCUCAUUGAUACAGAUAACUGGACGUGGAAGCAGGAUCUGAUUAGGACUACCUUCAUUGCCCCGGAUGGUGAUGCCAUUUUUAGCAUCCCACUCAGAAGGGGAGGAGGAGAGGAUUUCUAUGCUUGGGCUUUUGAACGAUCAGGCAACUACACUGUUAAAUUGGCGUACCAUGCUCUAGUUACUCAGAACGAGCGUCUUGCUCUAGAGGAAGGGACGGCUACCGAUGCUUCUCGAGAUGAUAAACAGAUGUGGACAGCCUUGUGGAAACUCAAAGUGAUUCCCAAAGUGCGAGUGUUCUGGUGGAGGGUACUGAGAGGGAUUCUACUGGAUGAAAGCACUCUAAAGUAUCACCACAUUUUAGUCUUAGAUACUUGUAAAGUUUUUCUGGCAAGGGAGGAGGAUCUCAUGCAUGCGCUCAUUCAAUGUUCCCAUGCAUGA
RNAcentral lists this ribosomal RNA (861 nucleotides) under Triticum aestivum (bread wheat). Its description in RNAcentral is "partial small subunit ribosomal RNA". The record is from RNAcentral. Lineage: Eukaryota; Viridiplantae; Streptophyta; Magnoliopsida; Poales; Poaceae.